CCGCUGCAAGAGGGGAAGUUGCUACUGUGAUGAAUUCUGCCAUGUGGCACCAGACUGCCACCCAGACCACAGUGUCCUCUGCAACCCUGCUUCUCAGAUGACCAAGAUGGUGCUGCAGAUGGUGCUGAGGAUGGAGAACCCACCAAGCCCCGCUAGGAGCCACCUAGACUGGAUGCAGAGCAUGGAUUCUGGAUGUAUACAGAUGCUCUUCAUCUUAGGAAGGGGUUACGUCCCAAUAAACACGUGGCUAAAACCUUUGAAGAAGAAUUUAUUAUAUCCUACAAACCUGGGAGGCAGAGGUUGCAGUGAGCCAAGAUUGGGCCAUCGCACUCCAGCCUGGGCAAUAAGAAUGAAACUCUGUCUCAAAAAAAACAAAAGUUGGCCAGGGCUGGGCGUGGUGGCUCACACCUGUAAUCCCAGCACGUCAAAG
This 430-nucleotide unclassified non-coding RNA is filed under the name Homo sapiens (human). RNAcentral's name for it is "MUC20 overlapping transcript (ENSG00000281603.2)". Lineage: Eukaryota; Metazoa; Chordata; Mammalia; Primates; Hominidae. The record is from RNAcentral.